Camellia sinensis is the source of this 276-nucleotide non-coding RNA. NCBI's taxonomy places the organism in Eukaryota, Viridiplantae, Streptophyta, Magnoliopsida, Ericales, Theaceae. The record is from RefSeq and is a predicted model, not a curated record.
CUGGAUCAAUCCAGACCAUGCUCACCCCAAAUUCCUCCAUAUAAAAGUUUGUGUUUGGUCAAAUUUUAUUAACAAGUAAAUUUUUGUAAUGAAUUGCAGUAUAAAGUGCUCAAUAAUCAGAUUGAAACUCAAAAAAAAAAGAAGAGAAAUGUGGAAGAAAUACACAGAAAUCUACUACAUCAAGUAAACUCAAAAGAGGAGGAUCCACAGUAUGGUCUAGUCGAUAAUGGAGUGGAUUACAACUCUAUUCUCGGAUUCUCAAAUGGAGGCCAUGGU